GAUGAAGAACGUAGCGAAAUGCGAUAAGUAAUGUGAAUUGCAGAAUUCAGUGAAUCAUCGAGUCUUUGAACGCACAUUGCGCCCCCUGGUAUUCCGGGGGGCAUGCCUGUCCGAGCGUCAUUGCUGCCCUCAAGCACGGCUUGUGUGUUGGGCCCCCGUCCCCGGUUUCCCCCGGGGACGGGCCCGAAAGGCAGCGGCGGCACCGCGUCCGGUCCUCGAGCGUAUGGGGCCUUGUCACCCGCUCUGUAGGCCCGGCCGGCGCCAGCCGACACCCAACUUUAUUUCUAAGGUUGACCUCGGAUCAGGUAGGGAUACCCGCUGAACUUAAGCAUAUCAAUAAGCGGAGGA
RNAcentral lists this unclassified non-coding RNA (348 nucleotides) under soil metagenome. RNAcentral describes it as "partial contains 5.8S ribosomal RNA, internal transcribed spacer 2, and large subunit ribosomal RNA". The stretch from base 1 to 120 matches the Rfam family "5.8S ribosomal RNA", at positions 35 to 154 of the family's 154-position model. The record is from RNAcentral.